Molecule: ribosomal RNA, 391 nt
Filed under: uncultured bacterium
Lineage: Bacteria
Description: bacterial SSU rRNA
Rfam family: Bacterial small subunit ribosomal RNA
Source: RNAcentral
GACGAACGCUGGCGGCGUGCUUAACACAUGCAAGUCGAGCGGUAAGGCCCUUUCGGGGGUACGACGAGCGGCGAACGGGUGAGUAACACGUGGGUGACCUGCCCUCAGCUCUGGGAUAAGCCUGGGAAACCGGGUCUAAUACUGGAUAUGACUCCAUGACGCAUGUUGUGGGGUGGAAAGCCUUGUGCGGCUGAGGAUGGGCCCGCGGCCUAUCAGCUUGUUGGUGGGGUGANGGCCUACCAAGGCGACGACGGGUAGCCGGCCUGAGAGGGCGACCGGCCACACUGGGACUGAGACACGGCCCAGACUCCUACGGGAGGCAGCAGUGGGGAAUCUUGCGCAAUGGGCGAAAGCCUGACGCAGCGACGCCGCGUGAGGGAUGACGGCCUGG